UUAUAGAGUUUUCUAAACUCCCAACUCAUGUCUGACUUACCAUUGUUGCCUCGGCAGAAGCUGCUCGGUGCACCUUACCUUGGAACGGCCUACCCUGUAGCCGCCUUACCCUGGAACGGCUUACCCUGCAACGGCUGCCGGUGGACUACCAAACUCUUGUUAUUUUAUGGUUAUCUGAGCGUCUUAUUUUAAUAAGUCAAAACUUUCAACAACGGAUCUCUUGGUUCUGGCAUCGAUGAAGAACGCAGCGAAAUGCGAUAAGUAAUGUGAAUUGCAGAAUUCAGUGAAUCAUCGAAUCUUUGAACGCACAUUGCGCCCAUUAGUAUUCUAGUGGGCAUGCCUGUUCGAGCGUCAUUUCAACCCUUAAGCCUAGCUUAGUGUUGGGAGCCUACUGCUUUUGCUAGCUGUAGCUCCUGAAAUACAACGGCGGAUUUGCGAUAUCCUCUGAGCGUAGUAAUUUUUAUCUCGCUUUUGACUGGAGUUGCAGCGUCUUUAGCCGCUAAACCCCCCAAUUUUUAAUGGUUGACCUCGGAUCAGGUAGG
RNAcentral lists this ribosomal RNA (542 nucleotides) under Pestalotiopsis uvicola. RNAcentral describes it as "eukaryotic LSU rRNA". The stretch from base 201 to 354 matches the Rfam family "5.8S ribosomal RNA". The record is from RNAcentral. Lineage: Eukaryota; Fungi; Ascomycota; Sordariomycetes; Amphisphaeriales; Sporocadaceae.